CCGGUAUCCGCGUUGUAACCUCGAGACACGUUUUCCGUGCGGCGCUAUGGACAAGUUCCUUGGAACAGGACAUCGUAGAGGGUGAAAAUCCCGUACUUGCCAUGGAUGUACCGUGCUUUGCGAUACGUGCUCUAAGAGUCGAGUUGUUUGGGAUUGCAGCUCAAAAUGGGUGGUAGACUCCAUCUAAAGCUAAAUAUCGGGGAGAGACCGAUAGCGAACAAGUACCGUGAGGGAAAGAUGAAAAGCACUUUGGAAAGAGAGUUAAAAGUACGUGAAAUUGUCGAAAGGGAAGCGCUUGAAGUCAGCCAUGCCGCUCAGGACUCAGCCUGGCUUUUGCUUGGUGUAUUUCCUGGGUAGCAAGUCAGCAUUGGUUUGGAUCGUCGGAGAAGCAUAGUCGGAAUGUGGCGCCCUCGGGCGUGUUAUAGCCUUCUAUUGGAUACGACGAUCUAGACCAAGGAACGCAGCGCGCC
Molecule: ribosomal RNA, 470 nt
Filed under: Malassezia furfur
Lineage: Eukaryota; Fungi; Basidiomycota; Malasseziomycetes; Malasseziales; Malasseziaceae
Description: eukaryotic LSU rRNA
Rfam family: Eukaryotic large subunit ribosomal RNA
Source: RNAcentral